This 3559-nucleotide long non-coding RNA is filed under the name Strigops habroptila (Kakapo). RNAcentral describes it as "lncRNA (ENSSHBG00005011469.1)". Lineage: Eukaryota; Metazoa; Chordata; Aves; Psittaciformes; Psittacidae. The record is from RNAcentral.
ACCUCAGUUUUGGGGGGUGAGAUGCUGAUGCUGACCUUAAGUUUCUGAAGACAGGUGUGGGAGUUUCCCGUUUGUGGCCAUGCUCCAGCAGUAAUUUGGACAAUUCUUGCUCCCUGUCUUCUUGCCUCCUGUGCUCUCCAUCAUGUUCAUGAUACCACUCAUGUCACAGCCAUGAGGUCUUGGGAAUAAAGUAAACCUGCCUUCUCUCUAGAGCAGAACAAGAGAGGCUUUCUGAGGGAGAAGAAGGAACCGUCUUGUAAAUGCUGCAUGCUGCAGAGUGGUACUACAACAAGCAAGAAAGCAAGGUGAAACAAACCCAGCUACAUCCUUCUGCAUGAUUUCUGUUCCUCUUGCAAGUGGUCUCCUGAGGAACAUGACAGCAAACAGCUCUUGAAAGCGCAGUGCGUGUGCUUUUCUGGCUUGCAGCUAGAGUUGGUCUACAGUAGUGCAGUAAAGAUCGCUGGGCAGCAGCAGCACAGGCAACACACCCUCUGUAUGCCCUCCAUACUGUACCAGGGUGUCCGUUUACUUUCCUUUCAUUGCUCUGUGGGGAUUGUCACCUUGACAGAUUCAUUUGCGCUGAGACUUGCCCUUGUUCACAGACCAGGCAGCUCUGCUGCACUAGAAGGGCUUUAACUCAGUAUGAGCACUGUCACUUUUUACAGUGUGUAACUUUGUAAGGUUCGUACUAUAAAUGUCCUUUUAUUUCUAAGGUAUAAGAAUUUCCCUGGGACUAACUGCUUUAAAGUGUCAAAUGCUUUUGUCCUUUUAUACAAGAGAAGUGUUCAGUCCUGUCCCUGCCAUGUCUUUGCUGUAGGUUGUUCACAGAACUGUGUGGACACAGGUUCCAGCACUUAGAUUCAGAGGUCCCUAUCCUGUAAUCUGAUUUUUCCAAUGCAAGCUGGGGCAGAGCAGUGGAUUUCAAUGGUGUUUGUAUGAGUCCUGUUGAUUUCAGCACCCUAACAGUUGAAGUUGGUGAUGUGUUGCAGGGAUCGGGCCAGAUAAGUCAGCAGGUAGCACAAAAGAUGGCUGUCCUGCUUGCUUUAUUUACGCUGGUUUGCAGACAAUGAAAUCAAAACAAGCACAGGAGAGCUAGUUUCUGAAGGAGAAAACCAUUCCUGAAUAAGGGCUAAUUUUUCAUUAGAUUUUAAAUACCCAGCUCUGUAUUUUUUAGCUUUAGAAUUCCUUAAAGCCACUUUUUAAUAAUAAAGCUGGCCUACAGGCUGUUUCCAUGGAAGAAUUUCAUACAGCCUUAAUUACAUUAGCACAAUUCUGAACCAACAGCAUCAUUCUUCAAUGGUCAAAAUAAUGCGUGAAUGUCUUCUGGUUUUUAACAAUGAGCUAACCUUGAAUACUGCAAAUAGGAGGAAAAAGAAAACAGGUUCUAUGAAUUCAUCCAAUAUCUAACCAUAGACGAACAUCCAGUGCAGGAAAAUAAGAUCAUGCCCUUCUUUUCUGUAUCUAUACUAUCUUAAAUGUCUGAUAAUUUUUAUUCUUAACCUACAGCUGCUAUUCCAGUAACUUGGUUUAUGUUGCCCCAAGCUGUGUAGUUUGCAGCUUUCUGAUGCAUUUGCAGUUACGUCCCCUCUAGUCCUUACCAGAGCAAAAUCUUUAAAUGUUGGUUUUCCCAUACAAGCCACUUCCCCAUUCCACAUUUCCAUUGUCACUGUAGUGAUGUGCUCUUUCUGUUUUCAUACAAUGACCAGGGCUGGAUGAAUGCUUUCCACAUGUGGUUUUACCUGAGCCAUUAAGCGAGCAGUUAUAUUCUCUUUUUGGUACUGAUACCUCUGUGGAUGCAGCUUUUAAAGGUAUUGAUUGGCCUUUUUUGUAGCUUUAUUUGUUGACAUGCUGCUCAGUUCUUGUCCUUCACUCCUAAAUUCCUGUCAAUCAUUUCUUAGGAUUCUUUCUUACCAAGUUUCUCACUCUGGAUUGCCAGGAUCAUUUUCUAUAUAAUAUUUUUGUAUUUUCUUGGAAUCAAAUCCCUUCACUUGCCAUGAUGGCCUUUACCUCCCUUUCUACCUACACCUGCUGUUCUGCUGUUGGCUGCUGCAGCACAGCCACAUUUGCCAGGCAGCAGAGCCUUUACGGGACAGCAGCAGCAGCAGCCACAGCCUUGACCAGGUGGGCUUUGUCAUCUCUUAAAUCUUUUCAGAACAUAUGUGGGGUAUGAAAACUUCACACUGUGGAUGGUGGCCUUGAAUUCAAACAGCUUGUAGCUUACUGGGGUUUAGGUUUAGGGGGUUUUGCUUCAUUUUCUGUCAUCUUGAACAGCUGGUUUCUACAGGUGAAUAAAACCAAUAGGUCUUGCCAGAAUCUACUUUGGAAAUAAGGCUGAUUGAAAACUUGGACACUUCUUAAUAUACUUGAUUGUAUUUAAAUUGGUGGGUGCUUUAGAGUCCUUAUUCUUCUGGAAGCAAAUUCAAAAGCUUAGAAACACAAAGACCAGGUCUUCAUGACUUCAUGAUACUCGCAAAUUCCACCUGCCUGUCCUCCUGCGUGGCUUGGGACAGGUGAAUGGCAGAAAUGGGGAUGUCUCACUGAAGGGAGGGAGGUCACGCUGACCGAAGCCCCUGGGGAACUGGAAGUGCUGAGCGUGCUUUGCCUGGCUUCGCACACGCCACUGACCUCCCCCAGCACCGAAGAAUAGGUUUCUGGCAGGAAGUUGAUUAAGGAGCAGAUAAAAUAUUUUCUAUUUUUCUUCUGCUCUAAGAUCUGUACUGAGCUGAAUCCUCUGGGUAAAUAAAGACAGGGGUGAGCUGAGCAAGAAGCCUUGCGAGCUUGUUCUGUUAAUACUUUCUACCUCUUGACAUUCAUUGUGGAGCUGCUGCAGGGUGGUGCGCCGGGAAGCAGCUUUAGCAGCGUGACGGUUUAUUCUGGGUCAGGCCAGUGCGGGUGCAGGAGUAGCUGGUCAGGCUGACACAGGGCUCCAUGCCCUCCGCAGGGAUAUGUGAAAUCGUUUGGAGCGUGACUCUGAGAAUAGGUGUUUAUGGUUUGCAUCCAACUGAAAGAACUGGUGUUUUUCAGGUGGCACCACGUGGACUCACAAACACUUCUGCUCAGUCUCAUGUGCCACCUCCUUACCCAUGUGAAGUAUCAUAAAAUGCUUCUGCAACUAGUACUGUUAAAGCAAUGCAAGUGCAGGGAGGUGUAUCGGUUUCUAGCUAUGUUGAUACAGUGAGGGUUUAGAAAUGAGAGAUGUCAAUGUGAAAAGCCACUAUUCUGCAGAUCAGCCCAGGUGUUUAUCCAGAAAGAAAUGUUUCCAAUUGCUACUGUGGUUGUGUGUAAGACUGAAAUGCUGAAAGAGAACUGUGUAACCCUCCUAGGCCAAGACUGAGCGAGACCUGGCAUUGUCCUUCUGAACACUUCUGCAACCUGAACCAAAAACCUGCGGUGGGAAUGUAGACUUACCAUGUAGCUGUGGAAGAAAACUUCAAUCGUGUCACUUCUCUCGGUCUUCAGAGCAGUCAACAUGAUUUCAAUGUAGGUUUUAGAUUAUGUAUAUAUAAAUCUGAUUGAAGUACCAACAGCAAACCAUAAAUAAAAUGUGGACUUAACUGAA